This 416-nucleotide ribosomal RNA is filed under the name uncultured bacterium. RNAcentral's name for it is "bacterial SSU rRNA". It matches the Rfam family "Bacterial small subunit ribosomal RNA", at positions 355 to 786 of the family's 1533-position model. The record is from RNAcentral.
UGGGGAAUAUUGGGCAAUGGGCGCAAGCCUGACCCAGCAACGCCGCGUGAAGGAAGAAGGCUUUCGGGUUGUAAACUUCUUUUAAGAGGGAAGAGCAGAAGACGGUACCUCUUGAAUAAGCCACGGCUAACUACGUGCCAGCAGCCGCGGUAAUACGUAGGUGGCAAGCGUUGUCCGGAUUUACUGGGUGUAAAGGGCGUGCAGCCGGGAAGACAAGUCAGAUGUGAAAUCCCGCGGCUCAACCGCGGAACUGCAUUUGAAACUGUUUUUCUUGAGUACCGGAGAGGUCAUCGGAAUUCCUUGUGUAGCGGUGAAAUGCGUAGAUAUAAGGAAGAACACCAGUGGCGAAGGCGGAUGACUGGACGGCAACUGACGGUGAGGCGCGAAAGCGUGGGGAGCAAACAGGAUUAGAUACC